This 611-nucleotide unclassified non-coding RNA is filed under the name Hevea brasiliensis (rubber tree). Lineage: Eukaryota; Viridiplantae; Streptophyta; Magnoliopsida; Malpighiales; Euphorbiaceae. The record is from RNAcentral.
GGGAGAAUGAUGCAGGAAUAGAAGUUUUUCAAAAGACUAACAUAAAAAUACUGUUUAUUUGUUAAUACUGCUGUAGCAGCCUUAAAAUCACAGUUAUUUGUCUUUUCUUACUCUUGUUAUUUUGGGCAUCUGGGAUAACACUUUGUCAUGAAGACUAGGAUCUGAUUUUAUCAGGGUUUUAAGGAUAUAAAUAUGGCUAUAAUAAGUGACCACACUUUUAUUACAUUUGAUCAAGUGCUUUCACUUAUUAUAAUUUUCUUUUAUUUAUUUUUUUAAGCAAAGAAAUUCAAACACAGUACACACAGGGAACCACAGGACUUGGACCAUCAUUUUCUCCAGCAAAAGCAUAACCCCAUUUUAGAUCCAAUAAUAAGCCCUAUAAGCAUCCUAACUAGUUGUGGGUUAAUGGGGCUCCCACAAAGAAGUAGUAGUUUAAAUGACAUAGAUUACUUAAUCAUAUAACAUCUCUCGAGAAAGACCAAGAUGAUAACCACUAUCACUACAUAUUAGUUUACUUGAAAAUUUAUAUAGCUAUCAAUAUCACCAGUAGAAUUGCAAAAAUAUUCUCUCAUAACAGUCAAAUUCGAUCAAGGUCUAUGAUAACCAGAAGC